This 427-nucleotide ribosomal RNA is filed under the name uncultured bacterium. RNAcentral's name for it is "bacterial SSU rRNA". It matches the Rfam family "Bacterial small subunit ribosomal RNA", at positions 355 to 774 of the family's 1533-position model. The record is from RNAcentral.
UAGGGAAUAUUGGACAAUGGGGGCAACCCUGAUCCAGCCAUGCCGCGUGAGUGAAGAAGGCCCUCGGGUUGUAAAGCUCUUUUGUCCGGAAAGAAAAGCUUCGGGUUAAUACCCCGGGGUUCUGACGGUACCGGAAGAAUAAGCACCGGCUAACUUCGUGCCAGCAGCCGCGGUAAUACGAAGGGUGCAAGCGUUACUCGGAAUUACUGGGCGUAAAGCGUGCGUAGGUGGUUGUUUAAGUCUGAUGUGAAAGCCCUGGGCUCAACCUGGGAAUGGCAUUGGAAACUGGGCAGCUAGAGUGCGGUAGAGGGUAGUGGAAUUCCGCGUGUAGCAGUGAAAUGCGUAGAGAUGCGGAGGAACACCGAUGGCGAAGGCAGCCCCCUGGGCCGACACUGACGCUCAGGCACGAAAGCGUGGGGAGCAAACA